Molecule: ribosomal RNA, 490 nt
Filed under: uncultured bacterium
Lineage: Bacteria
Description: partial 16S ribosomal RNA
Rfam family: Bacterial small subunit ribosomal RNA
Source: RNAcentral
AUUGAACGCUGGCGGCAUGCCUUACACAUGCAAGUCGAACGGCAGCAUGAUCUAGCUUGCUAGAUUGAUGGCGCGUGGCGAUCGGGUGAGUCAUACAUCGCAACGUGCCCUGUUGUGGGGGCUACCUCGUCGAAAGAUUAGCUAAUACCGCAUACGCCCUGAGGGUGAACGUGGGGGACCGCACGUCCCCCUGCUAUACGAGCGGCCGAGGUCUGAUUCUCUAGUUGGUGAGGUAAGGGCUCACCAAGGCGACGAUCAGUAGCUGGUCAGAGAGGACGAUCAGCCACACUGGAACUGAGACACGGCCCAGACUCCUACGGGAGGCAGCAGUGGGGAAUUUUGGACAAUGGGCGAAAGCCUGAUCCAGCAAUGCCGCGUGUGUGAAGAAGGCCUUCGGGUUGUAAAGCACUUUUGUCCGGAAAGAAAUGGCUCUGGUUAAUACCUGGGGUCGAUGACGGUACCGGAAGAAUAAGGACCGGCUAACUACGUG